CCUACGGGCGGCAGCAGUGAGGAAUAUUGGUCAAUGGACGAGAGUCUGAACCAGCCAAGUAGCGUGAGGGAUGACUGCCCUAUGGGUUGUAAACUUCUUUUAUAUGGGAAUAAAAUGUUGCACGUGUGGAAUUUUGUAUGUCCCAUAUGAAUAAGGAUCGGCUAACUCCGUGCCAGCAGCCGCGGUAAUACGGAGGAUCCGAGCGUUAUCCGGAUUUAUUGGGUUUAAAGGGAGCGUAGGUGGAUUGUUAAGUCAGUUGUGAAAGUUUGCGGCUCAACCGUAAAAUUGCAGUUGAAACUGGCAGUCUUGAGUACAGGAGAGGUGGGCGGAAUUCGUGGUGUAGCGGUGAAAGGCUUAGAUAUCACGAAGAACUCCGAUUGCGAAGGCAGUUCACUGGACUGCAACUGACACUGAGGCUCGAAAGUGUGGGUAUCAAACAGGAUUAGAUACCCUGGUAGUC
RNAcentral lists this ribosomal RNA (460 nucleotides) under uncultured bacterium. Its description in RNAcentral is "partial 16S ribosomal RNA". It matches the Rfam family "Bacterial small subunit ribosomal RNA", at positions 338 to 795 of the family's 1533-position model. The record is from RNAcentral.